RNAcentral lists this ribosomal RNA (253 nucleotides) under uncultured bacterium. RNAcentral's name for it is "partial 16S ribosomal RNA". It matches the Rfam family "Bacterial small subunit ribosomal RNA", at positions 524 to 776 of the family's 1533-position model. The record is from RNAcentral.
UACGAAGGGGGCUAGCGUUGCCCGGAUUCACUGGGCGUAAAGCGCAUGUAGGCGGCCUUUUAAGUCAGGGGUGAAAUCCUGGAGCUCAACUCCAGAACUGCCUUUGAUACUGGGAAGCUUGAGUCCGGGAGAGGUGAGUGGAACUCCGAGUGUAGAGGUGAAAUUCGUAGAUAUUCGGAAGAACACCAGUGGCGAAGGCGGCUCACUGGCCCGGUACUGACGCUGAGGUGCGAAAGCGUGGGGAGCAAACAGG